UAUUUGGAUUUGGAUGUGGGAAUAAAUUAUUCACGGAUAAGUUUAUUAGUAUAAGAAUUUUUUAAUAUAAUUGUAAGUGGGAAGUUUAACUUUUUUUAACUUCUUGAAAUUUCUUGUUAUUCAUAAUUUGGUAGGAUAAUAAGUUUAUCUUAUUCUGAAAAAAUAAUAUGAACGCUGAAUAUAAUAUUCCAUCUUAUUUGAUCAUACUUUUCAUUGUCCAAAUACACAAAUUUCUUAAGUAAAAUAAGUAGACACACCAAACAAAAUAUUCAUGGUUAAUGAAUUUAUACAUUUGGUUCAUACAGAUUUAGAAUGAUAAGAUAAAUCACCUUGCAGAAAAAAAAAUACUUAUUCUAUUAAAUUAUGAAUAACAAGAUAUUCAAAACAACGCAUAACAUUAAACUUUCUACUUAUUAUCAUAUCAAAAAAAUUUUCAUAUCGAAUUAAAUUAUUCUUGAAUAAUUUAUUUUGACAACUAAAUU
Molecule: long non-coding RNA, 482 nt
Filed under: Ananas comosus (pineapple)
Lineage: Eukaryota; Viridiplantae; Streptophyta; Magnoliopsida; Poales; Bromeliaceae
Description: long non-coding RNA (ACOM_LNC021470)
Source: RNAcentral